This 92-nucleotide transfer RNA is filed under the name Bacillota bacterium. RNAcentral's name for it is "tRNA-Ser". It matches the Rfam family "tRNA". Rfam says of the family: Transfer RNA (tRNA) molecules are approximately 80 nucleotides in length. Lineage: Bacteria; Bacillati; Bacillota. The record is from RNAcentral.
GGAAGGAUGCCGGAGAUGGCUGAACGGGCACGCCUGGAGAGCGUGUAGACGGGAAACCUGUCUCGUGGGUUCGAAUCCCACUCCUUCCGCCA